Molecule: ribosomal RNA, 519 nt
Filed under: uncultured bacterium
Lineage: Bacteria
Description: bacterial SSU rRNA
Rfam family: Bacterial small subunit ribosomal RNA
Source: RNAcentral
GACGAACGCUGGCGGCGUGGAUUAGGCAUGCAAGUCGGACGGUAGGGCUUUAUCGUAAGAUAGAGUUUGAGAGUGGCGAACGGGUGAGUAACACGUAGGAAUCUACCCUUAAGACGGGGACAACCCAGGGAAACUUGGGCUAAUACCGGAUGAGAGUGCGAGAGAUUGCAUUUAAAAGGAUGGCGAAAGUUGUCGCUUAGGGAUGAGCCUUGCGGUCUAUUAGUUAGUUGGUGAGGUAAGAGCUCACCAAGGCGAUGAUAGAUAGGCGGCCUUAACGGGUGGUCGCCCACACUGGGAUUGAGAUACGGCCCCAGACUCCUACGGGAGGCAGCAGUCGAGAAUAGUCUACAAUGGCCGGAAGGCUGAUAGUGCGACGCCGCGUGAACCGAGGGAGCCCCUUCGGGGUGUAAAGGUUACUUUUUCGUAUUACCGUAGCAGUUGCUAUAUAUAUGGAUAGGUAUAUAUAGAGGGAUAGUAGUAUAGGAAUAAGCAACGGCUAACCGUUAGCCAGCAGCCGAC